GCUCCUGAUGUGGACAGUCUUAAAGAAGAGCUGUGAACCUCUCCCAUGCAUUAUAUAAAUUCUUAUAUGGCUUCUGUUUAAAGCACACAAUCUCAUUGCGCAGUCU
Non-coding RNA from Capsicum annuum, 106 nucleotides. NCBI's taxonomy places the organism in Eukaryota, Viridiplantae, Streptophyta, Magnoliopsida, Solanales, Solanaceae. The record is from Rfam.